AUGAACGCUGGCGGCGUGCCUAAUACAUGCAAGUCGAGCGAACGGACGAGAAGCUUGCUUCUCUGAUGUUAGCGGCGGACGGGUGAGUAACACGUGGAUAACCUACCUAUAAGACUGGGAUAACUUCGGGAAACCGGAGCUAAUACCGGAUAAUAUUUUGAACCGCAUGGUUCAAAAGUAAAAGACGGUCUUGCUGUCACUUAUAGAUGGAUCCGCGCUGCAUUAGCUAGUUGGUAAGGUAACGGCUUACCAAGGCAACGAUGCAUAGCCGACCUGAGAGGGUGAUCGGCCACACUGGAACUGAGACACGGUCCAGACUCCUACGGGAGGCAGCAGUAGGGAAUCUUCCGCAAUGGGCGAAAGCCUGACGGAGCAACGCCGCGUGAGUGAUGAAGGUCUUCGGAUCGUAAAACUCUGCUAUUAGGGAAGAACAUAUGUGUAAGUAACUGUGCACAUCUUGACGGUACCUAAUCAGAAAGCCACGGCUAACUACGUG
Molecule: ribosomal RNA, 496 nt
Filed under: uncultured bacterium
Lineage: Bacteria
Description: partial 16S ribosomal RNA
Rfam family: Bacterial small subunit ribosomal RNA
Source: RNAcentral